Molecule: ribosomal RNA, 447 nt
Filed under: uncultured bacterium
Lineage: Bacteria
Description: bacterial SSU rRNA
Rfam family: Bacterial small subunit ribosomal RNA
Source: RNAcentral
UGGGGAAUAUUGGACAAUGGGCGAAAGCCUGAUCCAGCCAUGCCGCGUGAGUGAUGAAGGCCUUAGGGUUGUAAAACUCUUUCGCCGGGGAAGAUAAUGACGGUACCCGGAGAAGAAGCUCCGGCUAACUUCGUGCCAGCAGCCGCGGUAAUACGAAGGGAGCUAGCGUUGUUCGGAAUUACUGGGCGUAAAGCGCACGUAGGCGGGCUAUUAAGUCAGGGGUGAAAUCCCGAGGCUCAACCUCGGAACUGCCUUUGAUACUGAUAGUCUUGAGAUCGGGAGAGGUGAGUGGAAUUCCUAGUGUAGAGGUGAAAUUCGUAGAUAUUAGGAAGAACACCAGUGGCGAAGGCGGCUCACUGGCCCGAUACUGACGCUGAGGUGCGAAAGCGUGGGGAGCAAACAGGAUUAGAUACCCAGGUAGUCCCUGAGCGGGCUGGCAAGGCGCAU